This 287-nucleotide ribosomal RNA is filed under the name Escherichia coli. Its description in RNAcentral is "partial 16S ribosomal RNA". It matches the Rfam family "Bacterial small subunit ribosomal RNA", at positions 1 to 284 of the family's 1533-position model. The record is from RNAcentral. Lineage: Bacteria; Pseudomonadati; Pseudomonadota; Gammaproteobacteria; Enterobacterales; Enterobacteriaceae.
AAAUUGAAGAGUUUGAUCAUGGCUCAGAUUGAACGCUGGCGGCAGGCCUAACACAUGCAAGUCGAACGGUAACAGAAAGCAGCUUGCUGCUUUGCUGACGAGUGGCGGACGGGUGAGUAAUGUCUGGGAAACUGCCUGAUGGAGGGGGAUAACUACUGGAAACGGUAGCUAAUACCGCAUAACGUCGCAAGACCAAAGAGGGGGACCUUCGGGCCUCUUGCCAUCGGAUGUGCCCAGAUGGGAUUAGCUAGUAGGUGGGGUAACGGCUCACCUAGGCGACGAUCCCU